GAUGAACGCUGGCGGCGUGCUUAAUACAUGCAAGUCGAGCGAACAGACGAGGAGCUUGCUCCUCUGACGUUAGCGGCGGACGGGUGAGUAACACGAGUAUAACCUACCUGUAAUACUGGUAUAACUUCGGGAAACCGGAUCUAAUACCGUAUAAUAUAUUGAACCGCAUGGUUCAAUAGUGAGAUACGGCGUUGCUGUCACGUCUAGAUGGAUCCGCGCCGCAUUAGCUAGUUGGUAAGGUAACGGCUUACCAAGGCAACGAUGCGUAGCCGACGUGAGAGGGUGAUCGCCCACACUGGAACUGAGACACGGACCAGGCUACUGCGAGACGCACCAGAAGGGAACCUGCGGCAACGGUCGAAAGCAUGACGGAACAACGGCGAGCCAGAGAUGAAGAUCUCGGGAUCGUAAUACUCUGUUAUUAGGGAAGAACAAAUGUGUAAGUAAAUAUGGACGUAUUGACGGUAAUGAAUAAGAAAGCCACGGCUAACUACGUG
Molecule: ribosomal RNA, 497 nt
Filed under: uncultured bacterium
Lineage: Bacteria
Description: partial 16S ribosomal RNA
Rfam family: Bacterial small subunit ribosomal RNA
Source: RNAcentral